AGGUGCGAUCAUACCAGCGUUAAUGCACCAGAUCCCAUCAGAACUCCAUAGCUAA
Non-coding RNA from Picea glauca (white spruce), 55 nucleotides. Lineage: Eukaryota; Viridiplantae; Streptophyta; Pinopsida; Pinales; Pinaceae. The record is from Rfam.